Mus musculus (house mouse) is the source of this 797-nucleotide long non-coding RNA. RefSeq annotates it as predicted gene, 38612. The record is from RefSeq and is a predicted model, not a curated record. NCBI's taxonomy places the organism in Eukaryota, Metazoa, Chordata, Mammalia, Rodentia, Muridae. The transcript has 2 exons.
GUGAGGUGCUGGCCUAUGGUGGUCACUAUGUGUCACAAUCGUGCUCCCUCCCCUUGAAACAUCCCCAUGCAGGUCCCCGGCAGUGGAGACAGCCUCUUUCUUCCUCGUAGGGACAGCUGGCCACACAGCAGUAUAUAUACAGUGAUGCGCUGCUCUGGGUCACAUCUGUCUGCCAGGAGAUCCUGCUGUCUACCUAGGCAGAGAUGAUGUGAUGGUUACUAUUGACAGCAACUUGGCAAGAUGCCAAAUCACCUAACGGACAUACCGCUGGGUAGUCUGGGAGGAAGUUUAUGGAGAAGUUAAACUGAAGAGGAAGGACAGAUCCUAACUAAGGUCCCAGGGUAAAUUAAAAAGAGAGCUGAGUACUACUGAGUCCACGUCCCACUGCUUCCUGCCUGCGGAGGUGAUGCGACAGCCACCUCAUGCUCCUGUGACUAGUUCCACUCAAACUGUAAGGCAGAAUAAAUGCUUCCUUAUAUUGUUUUGUCACAGCACGGGACAAGCCAACAUAAGAGAGACCCACAUCCCUCCUAGCAAUAAGGACACAGAGAAGAUGCCAUAUCUGAAACUGGGAGACAUAGAGCUGCCUCUGAAGCUGCAAGUGACCGUCUACUGACUGCAAGUUGCCCAGUCUGGGUUUGAUGCAGUGGCCAUCACAGACACAGACAGCGUUAAUGGGUGGAUCCUUCUUUGCUUCAUCUCCUCUACCUUCCCUCCUCUCUGCACAUGCAAAAAAUGAGGGUUGAUGUUUUUAUUCAUGCUAUAGAAAAAUAUUAGCAUAUGUUUAUUGUACACAA